Molecule: long non-coding RNA, 467 nt
Organism: Salvelinus sp. IW2-2015
Lineage: Eukaryota; Metazoa; Chordata; Actinopteri; Salmoniformes; Salmonidae
Source: RefSeq, a predicted model, not a curated record
CGCGCUGGUGCUGAAACAAGAUGGCUGUGCGCGCGAGAGGAGCGGAGGAGAGCUGAGGGAUGCAGAGACAGGGAGAGAGACGGCAAAGUGAGGGGAGCCUUUCAACAGCAAAAUAAAUAGCCAUAUCCGUGAAGAACGCACGGAUUCCCUUGUAAUUAUGUCUUCGAAUCAAUUUUCUGUCCACUAUGGCAAUAUUUAGCUUAUGUUUAGACGUACAUCUGUAGCCUACGCCGGGAGGUAACUGAGGAGUAGCCAAGCGAAGCAGUGAAGACCCAGCCGGCCGGUAGAGGACAGCCGGGGACGCUCAGCGCUGCUGUCAGAGAUGUCCCUGCUCUGUGUCGGAGUGAAGAAAGCCAAGCUGGAUGGAGCCCAAGAGAAGUUCAACACGUAUGUGACCCUGAGGUGCAAAUGUGAAGAGCACAACCAUCGCUGUCCGGGAAGCCUGCCCAGCUGGGAGCAGGACUUCA